This 114-nucleotide ribosomal RNA is filed under the name Clostridioides difficile. RNAcentral's name for it is "partial 23S ribosomal RNA". It matches the Rfam family "Bacterial large subunit ribosomal RNA", at positions 2812 to 2925 of the family's 2925-position model. The record is from RNAcentral. Lineage: Bacteria; Bacillati; Bacillota; Clostridia; Peptostreptococcales; Peptostreptococcaceae.
UCCCACCGCAAGGGUAAGACCCCAGAAAGACUAUCUGGUUGAUAGGUCGAAGGUGUAAGUGCAGCAAUGUAUUUAGCUUAUCGAUACUAAUAGGUCGAGGACUUGACCAAUAUU